RNAcentral lists this unclassified non-coding RNA (329 nucleotides) under soil metagenome. RNAcentral's name for it is "partial contains 5.8S ribosomal RNA, internal transcribed spacer 2, and large subunit ribosomal RNA". The stretch from base 1 to 120 matches the Rfam family "5.8S ribosomal RNA", at positions 35 to 154 of the family's 154-position model. The record is from RNAcentral.
GAUGAAGAACGUAGCGAAAUGCGAUAAGUAAUGUGAAUUGCAGAAUUCAGUGAAUCAUCGAAUCUUUGAACGCACAUUGCGCCCCUUGGUAUUCCGAGGGGCAUGCCUGUUCGAGCGUCAUUUCAACCCUCAAGCACAGCUUGGUCUUGGGCUUCGCCGCUAACCCGGCGGGUCUUAAAAUCAGUGGCGGUGCCGUCGGGCCCUGAGCGCAGUAAUCUCUCUCGCUAUAGGGUCCCGGCGGAUGCUGGCCAGUAACCCCCAAUUUUCUAUGGUUGACCUCGGAUCAGGUAGGGAUACCCGCUGAACUUAAGCAUAUCAUAAGCGGAGGA